RNAcentral lists this ribosomal RNA (774 nucleotides) under uncultured bacterium. Its description in RNAcentral is "bacterial SSU rRNA". It matches the Rfam family "Bacterial small subunit ribosomal RNA", at positions 8 to 796 of the family's 1533-position model. The record is from RNAcentral.
AGAGUUUGAUCCUGGCUCAGGACGAACGCUGGCGGCGUGCUUAACACAUGCAAGUCGAACGGAAAGCCCCCUUCGGGGGGACUCGAGUGGCGAACGGGUGAGUAACACGUGGGUGAUCUGCCCUGCACUUUGGGAUAAGCCUGGGAAACUGGGUCUAAUACCGGAUAGGACCACGGCCUGCAUGGGCUGUGGUGGAAAGCUUUUGCGGUGUGGGAUGGGCCCGCGGCCUAUCAGCUUGUUGGUGGGGUGAUGGCCUACCAAGGCUGCGACGGGUAGCCGGCCUGAGAGGGUGUCCGGCCACACUGGGACUGAGAUACGGCCCAGACUCCUACGGGAGGCAGCAGUGGGGAAUAUUGCACAAUGGGCGCAAGCCUGAUGCAGCGACGCCGCGUGGGGGAUGACGGCCUUCGGGUUGUAAACCUCUUUCACCAUCGACGAAGCCUUUUAGGUGACGGUAGGUGGAGAAGAAGCACCGGCCAACUACGUGCCAGCAGCCGCGGUAAUACGUAGGGUGCGAGCGUUGUCCGGAAUUACUGGGCGUAAAGAGCUCGUAGGUGGUUUGUCGCGUUGUUCGUGAAAUGCCACAGCUUAACUGUGGGCGUGCGGGCGAUACGGGCAGACUGGAGUACUGCAGGGGAGACUGGAAUUCCUGGUGUAGCGGUGAAAUGCAGAUAUCAGGAGGAACACCUGUGGUGUAGACAGCUUACUGGACCAUCACUGACACUGAGACACGAAAGCGUGGGUAGCAAACAGGAUUAGAUACCCCAGUAGUCC